GGCCACCAGUGGAACAAAAUGGUUAGAUCAUUGACUGUGUCUUUUUGCUCUAGUAAGAGUUUUAAUCAAACCUUUUGCUAUCUUCCAAAACCAAAUGGUAUUCAUUACUGCCAAUAUGGGAGCCACUGAAAGUAUGCUAUAGAAGCCCAAAGGAAAUAUCUUUUUCACCUGAUCAAAGUGGAUGAACAUGUGAGUGAAGAAGUAAAUGAACAGAAGAAUCCUUGCAAGCAACCACCCAAGGAACAAUAGGACUCCAUUGCAAACGUACAUUUUAGAGCUCUUCCUACCAGCAACAUCCAAGUACCAUCUUAAAUUUACAAAAGGAGUAGUGGCCUCAGAGAAGAGAACCAUCAGUAUGUACAUCUGUCCUUGACCACUU
Molecule: unclassified non-coding RNA, 379 nt
Filed under: Hevea brasiliensis (rubber tree)
Lineage: Eukaryota; Viridiplantae; Streptophyta; Magnoliopsida; Malpighiales; Euphorbiaceae
Source: RNAcentral